Molecule: long non-coding RNA, 4135 nt
Organism: Cyprinodon variegatus (sheepshead minnow)
Lineage: Eukaryota; Metazoa; Chordata; Actinopteri; Cyprinodontiformes; Cyprinodontidae
Exons: 3
Source: RefSeq, a predicted model, not a curated record
AUGUUAAUAAGUAAAUAAUCCAAAACGAUUACCAUUAACAAUAAUUUUAAUUUCUCAACAGACUUGUUGUUUUUGGUGCAGCUGAACAUCCUCCAUGUUUUCAUUUGUUGUAAGGUUGUGCAGGUUGUGUCAGUCUAUUGUGUAUGCACUGCUUUAGCUCUACAAAGAAAACAAAAAAAAAAUUGAUUUGGCAUAAAUUGACCAUCAGGAUCAACAUGGAACUGCUUAAUUCUUUCUGAUUAUCCAAAAUAAACACCACAGAAUCGUGUUUAGAAUAUUUUCCAGAUUUGCUAAUGAUGCUAAUUGACAAAGUAUAAAUCUCAACAGGGCCUUAGUUUUAUCACCUUGAAUUAUUUUUAUUUUUUUUAUUAACAAGGAAAUAUAUCUUUUUACCCCUCAUAAAGGCUACAUUAGUACUAACUGAAGAGAACACACUAUAAACAAUUGAAUUAUGCCCUAUAGUUAUGCAACUGUUUUUUACACAAUCCAAGAACAUUUUUAGUGAUAAGAAUAUAAAAUAUUGAUAGAAGCGAUUGAAAAUUGUGAUUAAUUUUAACAAGUGUUAUAUUGAGAAAGAAGUUUAGAUCUACUGCAUAUUAUGUCGAAGUUUGCUCUUACUAUAUUUGGCCAGGGACAUCUCAGGGGGAAGCAUUUGCUUUCCAUAAGUUUCAAUGUGUAGGGAAAUGCACAUUUAUUUUGAUUGGUUACUUUUUUUUGUUUGUUUUUGUUAUUUCAAAUAUGACAGAAAUGCUAAUCAGUUUUGGACUACUAAAAAAUGUACCCAUAUAAAGGUUCACUUUAGUCCCUUUAUGAAAUUCAAUGAAACAUUUCUUAUGAAGGCCUGCUCAGUGGCACAGUGGGUGCCGCUGCCUAGCAGCAAGAAGGUUAUUGGUUUAAUUCCUGGCCUGGAUUUUUUUGUUCUUGUUUUAUAUAUAUUUAUUGGUUUUGCAUGAUUUUUUUUUUUUACUUUACUCUGGUUAUCCACUCAAGCUUAUUGCUUAUUUCUGACUUUAUUUUGAAUAAAACUUGCACAUACCAAUUGUUUUUUAUUAGGUGUGGAGCAAUUUCAGAUCUGUUUUUUCUGCUUUUGAUACAGGUGUAUGUUUGAAAUAAAUAAAUUACUUGCUGUUUUCACUGCAAGCCAUGGUGUUUUUUUUCCUCUUACCCUCCCUCUACAAUAUGUAGUCCAGAAGCUUAAUGUUGUUAAAGCUUAAUGGACAGCGAUGGUGAGAAAAACAUAAGAGAAAAUAAAUUGGUCAAUUUAAGUAUAUGCUUACAGGGCAGCCAUUAAGUAGGCAAAAAAAUACAAAAGCGAUAUUUAUUGUGAUACAACUUUCUUUAGAAUUUAUUCUUGUUUACAAAUGCAGCCAGGAUGCGGUGUUUUUGCAGCUGGGAUAGAGGAGGUGUCACUUGUUACACAUCUUGUUUUGGUCUACACUUUGCUCUACAAAUCAUUAAUUUUGUAGUUGUAAAAUGAGAAAAUACAGAACAGCUUGUUUUCCAUAUGCAGGGGUUGCCAUGUCUUUAAGACUUGCUUAGAAACUUGGCAAGUUUAUAAUCUAUAGUCCCUUCCUGACAAAAUCAGGAAUUGAAUAUUCUCUUCAUUGGUGUUUGCCUGCUUCUACGUUUUCACCAAAGGUACAUCUGUUAAAACGUAAAAUCACAUUAACAUUUGUUUGCUGAUUUAUUUUAUAUAAUUGUUCUUCUAUUAUUCACAGGAAGAUGCUACUUUCAGUAUAAGCAUGAAAGCUCAGCAGUGUUGGAAAGAAGCUCAGAAUACGAACAACUGAAAAACAGACAAAUCAGCAAGUUAGAGUCAUGACCAUGAAAACAGAAACACUUCAGUUUAACCGUUGUUUCCAAUUAUAAAAAUAUGGUCAAACUGAUUAGGCAGCUAAUUCUAAACCACACUAGAUCAAAGGUGGAGACAGAACGGAUUUUGUAGACAUGCUGUUAGACAAUCUUAAUUCGCCUCUUGAGUAUUUGCAAGUACGUACCCGAUUGUUUAAAUGUUUUUUAAUAUUGGAAAAACUGGUGCUGAUGGUGAGGAGCUCCUAGAGACUCAGAGAUGCAGAGAUUUGUAGAGAAGGUUCAUAUCCCUCAGCUUUGUUCAUGAACUGCAGAACUGUUUGUGAUUUUCUGUUUAUUUUUUAUCAGGUUUGGAAAAACAAUCGAAAACAUCUCACAGAGGUUGCAGGUGGCCUUUAAUUCUUCCAGUCCUGAUGACAAUAAUGCUAAUGGUUAUCAUGGGUAUUGUCCUGAUUAUACGUUAUACGAGGAACUAACUAAUCAAAGCAGACAUAAUAGGAAGAAUUGACCUUUAAAUAUUAGUGGAAGCAGCCAGAGUUUCUCAUUUAAACAGCAAUUAAAAUACAGGAUAUAUUCCUUUCAUUGGUGCCAAACUUUAGAUAUGGCUCCUAUUAACUGAUGUUACAUUCAAAAUCAUGAAAGGAACAUUUAAAAAAGACAGUAGAAAUUCAACUUUAGUUAAUCCUGAGUAAAACUAUAACAUAGUAUGGUUUCUUUAGAAUGGAAGCACAUGAUGCUGAUUUUCUCAGGGUAAAACAAAAUGAACAUACUUUUGGUUGAAUCAUCUCAUCAAUGUUCAGCCAGAUGUUUUACAUCAGUUUAAUACCUGCAGAGUCCUUAGAUCCCAACUGUAUCGCACUACUAUACUGACCUGCUGUCAUUUUAAAAAAUAGGACAAGAAGCAAACAUGAAGUAUGCAGUAUAAUAAACUGAAUGAUUUUUUUUUUUUCCCACAAGAUUUGAUUUAAUCCAAAUGUCCAUCUACGUUGUUGCCCCAAGCAUGAUUGUAAACAUGAAGCACUUUAAGUCUCAGACACUGACUGAUUGGAGGAAAAUGAAGGAAAACAGCUACAGUAAAAGUAAAGGAUGACCAGUGAGCAUUAUAUGCAUCUUUAUGUGGAGAAAAAAGUUAACCAUAAUCAAAGCCUUUUUAAAUAUAUAUUUCCAGAGUUUAAUACAUUGAUUAUGUGAUUUAAUGGCUUUAAAUUUUUAUUAAUUUAUGUAGCAAAUGUGUGUUUCUCUGCAUGUUUUAAUUUAUUUUUUAUUCAAGCACUUUUUCUACGUCCUUUCUGUGUUUCAUGUCAUCCCUGUUAUGUUACAAAUUUCUAUUUAGUAUCCAAGUCUGUUAUAUUUUAUAUUAAUGUAUAAUCUGCUAAUAUUCAGUGUCUGAACAGUUUAAAUGUGACUCAGGCACAUCUCUGGGAAAAUGAAGGAAAACUGGUCCCACUGAUACAGUUGUUGUUGUAUGAAGGAUUUCAUGUUUAUUUCUGCUCAUAGAUGUUUGUAUCAGUAGUCAAAGUAAACUGUUAAAGUAAUUUUUUAAUUUUUGUUAGGACACUUUUCUGCAGAGAGAACUUUUGUUUUUCAUGUUAUACAUCAUAGUACCGUAUUAUAAUAGCUUACAGCUGGUGCAAAAUGCAGCUGCUUGUCUUUUAACUGUAACUCCAAAGUAUUGUACGAUCACAUCACCCCUGUCCUGGCCUCAACCCACUGGCUGCCUGUGCAUUUUAAAGUUGAUUUUAAAAUUCUUAUCUUUGUAUUUAAGUGCCUAAAUGACCUUGCCCCAUCUUACCUCUUAGAGCUUCUUCACCCCUGCUUGCCUCCUCGAUCUCUCAGGUCAGCAGAACAGCAGCUCCUGCAGGUACUGAGGUUUAAGAGGAACCUCAGAGGUGCCUUUUCUAUCACUUUUCCUCGUUUAUGGAGUAGCCUCCUGCUGCACACUAGGGAGGCUCCUCCCCUGCCAAGUUUAAAACACAACUCAAGAUUUACUUUUAUUCACUGGCUUUUAACAUUGGCAGAACUUGGUUGUUGUUAAAUUGUUUAUUUAGCUUUAUUAUUAUUGCCCUAUUUAAUAUUUUUAUGCUGUGUUUUAUUCUUUCAUUGUGUUUUAUUAUUUUUAGCUAUGUUCAGUACUUUGUUUUCACCUGUAGCUGUUUUAAAGCGCUACAUAAAUAAAGAUGACGAUGAUAUUAUGGAUUUAAAAAACACAAAGUUUUACUUUAAGCCUCUGCUUACAUAAUCUACAUAAUGCAUUAUUCGAUUAAUUACUAAUAUCCAGUGUCUGAAAGCUUUUGUUAACAUGUCAUCUUCUAACUGCCAGCAAUAA